Megamonas hypermegale ART12/1 is the source of this 180-nucleotide non-coding RNA. Lineage: Bacteria; Bacillati; Bacillota; Negativicutes; Selenomonadales; Selenomonadaceae. The record is from Rfam.
UAUUUAUUGAGUGGAAUAGGUGCCCCUUUUGGGCUUAAUAGAGAAAGCAGUAAAAGCUGCUACGGUCCCGCCGCUGUGAAAGUGAGCAACUUCAAAUUUAUGUCACUGAGAUAUUUCUUGGGAAGGCUUGAAGAAGCGAUGAACUUGAGUCAGAAGAACUGCCUAUUUGUCAAUCACCGU